Molecule: ribosomal RNA, 470 nt
Filed under: Klebsiella variicola
Lineage: Bacteria; Pseudomonadati; Pseudomonadota; Gammaproteobacteria; Enterobacterales; Enterobacteriaceae
Also listed under: 1 other name
Description: bacterial SSU rRNA
Rfam family: Bacterial small subunit ribosomal RNA
Source: RNAcentral
AAAUUGAAGAGUUUGAUCAUGGCUCAGAUUGAACGCUGGCGGCAGGCCUAACACAUGCAAGUCGAGCGGUAGCACAGAGAGCUUGCUCUCGGGUGACGAGCGGCGGACGGGUGAGUAAUGUCUGGGAAACUGCCUGAUGGAGGGGGAUAACUACUGGAAACGGUAGCUAAUACCGCAUAACGUCGCAAGACCAAAGUGGGGGACCUUCGGGCCUCAUGCCAUCAGAUGUGCCCAGAUGGGAUUAGCUGGUAGGUGGGGUAACGGCUCACCUAGGCGACGAUCCCUAGCUGGUCUGAGAGGAUGACCAGCCACACUGGAACUGAGACACGGUCCAGACUCCUACGGGAGGCAGCAGUGGGGAAUAUUGCACAAUGGGCGCAAGCCUGAUGCAGCCAUGCCGCGUGUGUGAAGAAGGCCUUCGGGUUGUAAAGCACUUUCAGCGGGGAGGAAGGCGGUGAGGUUAAUAACCU